Long non-coding RNA from Nerophis ophidion (straightnose pipefish), 445 nucleotides. RefSeq lists it as uncharacterized. NCBI's taxonomy places the organism in Eukaryota, Metazoa, Chordata, Actinopteri, Syngnathiformes, Syngnathidae. The transcript has 2 exons. The record is from RefSeq and is a predicted model, not a curated record.
AUUGUAUUGUCAUUCGGACUUGUUGCCAUAUAUUGCUCUUGUCGUGUCGAUGUGAUUCUUUUCAGCUAUUACCUGUCGUGCUACAUUUUGUCCUGGUAGUCAUAGCGGUGAGGACGGCGACAUGACAGGACGGCACUUAAACAUGGCACCGACACGCCGACACACGUCCCAUGGAGACACCGACACACGAUGGAAAACAAAAUGCCAGUGAUGUCAGCGUUCCUGAAGAGUGACUGCACACACACCUCACGUGUGUGUGUGUGUGUGUGUGUGUGUAUGUGUGUGUGUGAGCUGUGUUUAUCUUAAUGAUGGACUGAGAUCAGCAGCAUGUUUGCUGCAUACAGAUAUCACAACACAACUUUAUUCACACACAGAGUAUAUAUGUUGACUAUAACAUGAUAUACAGUCACGAUCAAAAGUUUAAAUAAACUUGUAAAGAACAUAA